Molecule: long non-coding RNA, 1469 nt
Filed under: Homo sapiens (human)
Lineage: Eukaryota; Metazoa; Chordata; Mammalia; Primates; Hominidae
Description: non-protein coding OSER1-DT:46
Source: RNAcentral
CUCUGAUGCCUCAGCCAUGCGCCUGUGUGCCGAUUCCCAUUAAGCCUGCACCAAUUUGAUUUCCAAGACUCCAGUCAAUCCUCAGAGCUCCAGGAGGGGAGGGGCAGCUUUUCCUGGUAGCUGCUGAUCACCAGCAGAGGGAGCCCUAGGACUGCAGGGCCUCUUUCCUUACCGUUGGUGAAGCCCUUCACUGUGGCUUCAAAACUGUGGAAGACCCGGGAUUUGUGGAUCACUUGCCUUUAGAAUAGAAUCAAGAAAUAAAGCUGCAGAAGAAAGAAUCUCCAUGUGAUGAGCCCCAGAGAGGCGAAGCCACUUGAGCUCGUGAGUGACAGUCAGAUGUCAAGCCCUGCUCUUUCUAAAGCGUGCUGCCUUCAGAAAAGAAGAGCCAGAAGGAUGGAAAUUACUUCAGAAAGAUGAAUACCAGCUUUGAAGGAAUAAAAGCUGACGAGGAAUUGAAGGAGUUGAGGCACGAGCUUGAACAGGGUUGCAUGUUUGGCCCUUGAUUGUAAAUGCCCAUUGCUGCACCUGUUCCUGUUACUUGGGGAGUUGCAGCAGAAGGAACAGCGGCCUGGGACUCCAGAGAACUGGGUUCCCUCUCAUCCCUCCAGGGCCACCACUUCUUGUGGGCCCUUGGGCAAGUCACUGUACUUUCUGAGUCUCAGUUUCCCCAUUUGCAGAAUGGAAAUAACUACCCCGGUCUACCAACUUAGAAGAAUUGCUUUGAGGAUCUGAUAAGGUGGUGUGGAUGAUGCUGCCUUGGGGGCUUUACAGUCUGGAGCUCAAGGGACCCCUUAAGUUGGGCUUACUUAGUAACUCCAGGGGUGGGCAGAACAGGACUCCAAUGAGGGUUUUUUUCUUUUUCCCUUUUUUUUCUUUUCCUAUCUCUUAACUUUUAUCUUUAUUAUUUUACAAUGCCCUUGUAAGAUGAAACAAGUGAUGCUGAAAUAUCUUUUUCUUUUUUAACCUUUAUUUUAGAAUUGGGGUACAUGUGCAGGUUUGUUACAUAGGUACAGUGUGGGCUGCUGAGGUUUGGGAGUACGAAUGAAUUAGUCACCCCAGUGGUGAGCAUAGUGCCCGAUAAGUGGUUUUUUCAACCCUUACUCCCAUCCCUCUCCAUUCUUGUGUUCCCCAGUGUCUGCUGUUCCCAUUUUUAUGACCAUGUGUACUCAAUGUUUAGCUCCCACUUAGAAGUAAGAACAUGCCCAGCACUUUGGGAGGCCGAGGUGGGUGGAUCAUGAGGUCAAGAGAUCGAGACCAUCUUGGCUAACAAAGUGAAACCCUGUCUCUACUAAAAACAUAAAAAAUUGGCCGGGUGUGGUGGUGGGCACCUGUAGUCCUAGCUACUCGGGAGGCUGAGACAGGAGAAUCGCCUGAACCGGGGAGGUGGAGGUUGCAGUGAGCUGAGAUUGUACCACUGCACUCCAGCCUGGGUGACAGAGUGAGACUCCAUCUCAAAAAAAUAAAAAUAA